This 23-nucleotide non-coding RNA is filed under the name Rattus norvegicus (Norway rat). Lineage: Eukaryota; Metazoa; Chordata; Mammalia; Rodentia; Muridae. The record is from RNAcentral.
UACGUGCCGUGUAAAACUUGAGG